RNAcentral lists this ribosomal RNA (1203 nucleotides) under Triticum aestivum (bread wheat). Its description in RNAcentral is "partial small subunit ribosomal RNA". The record is from RNAcentral. Lineage: Eukaryota; Viridiplantae; Streptophyta; Magnoliopsida; Poales; Poaceae.
AUGAGCUCGUGCAUGAGGAGCUCGCGCUCCCUCCUCGCUGCAGCCAUCCGUCUCCUGCAAGUCUUCUGUCAACGUAUGUCUAUGGCAUUGCGUGUUUCUCAGGACUAUUGUACCUCCCUGUGGAGGUCGGUGACCAUCCACUUGGCUCUUAGCCGGUACUUACACGCCCUGUGGAGGGUCAUGACAGCAUCUAUGUUCCAAACUCUCCAUGUCGGCACAAGGACCAUUGUCUACCGUGAAUUUUACGUUGAGACCGUGCCCUGCACCAACCGCACCCACAAGGUCAUCCGCUCUCCCAGGAAAGCACGAGAAAUUGGAGAGCGUGCCUUUGCAAAUUUCAAGAAGAAGCACGCCUCCAAGAUCCUCGACCCACACCACCAUGAAAGUGUUCGCGUCCAUGCCAUUGGCUGGAAGAUCAUUCGCGCUAUCCGUCGUGUAUUGUCCAUUAAGAGAAAGAUAGAGCGACAAGGACAGGAACCACUACAGAAGAUGACACGUCUGGGUUGGAUCCGCGAGCUCAAUUUGGAGGUGAUAGUCGUAGAGGAAAAUGUCAGAACAGGACGGUGCUUUCCUGGUGGUGGCAAGAUAGUACUCUACACGGGAUUACUUGAUCAUUUCAGCACAGAUGCUGAGAUUGCCACCAUCAUCGCGCAUGAGGUUGGACAUAUUAUUGCGAGGCACUCCUCUGAGAUGAUCAAAAUAUUCAAGUGGUGGCUCCCAACCCGCCUCCUCGUGACGCCAUUGUUACAAAGAUUAUCCCAAGUUUUUGGGAAUCCUCAAUUAUUUGGCCCUCUUCCAUUUGGUGUUCCUACAAAAAUCCCCGUUUUUCUCGUUUUCGUCUGGCCAGCGCCCACUGACCAUCAUGUUAAUGUUUGUUGGAUACCUAUAUGCCCCUCUGCCAUGAGCUACUGCCAGUUGGGUUCCCAGCGGAAUGAGCUAGAGGCAGAUUACAUUGGAAUGUUGCUACAGGCUGCUGCUGGUUUCGAUCCCCACGCUGCCCCUAUGUCCCUUGAAAAGCAAGGACGAAUAAAUCGGAAGUCGACAUUGACAAAAUUGCUCUCCUUCUUCUCAUUCAGCGCUCAUCCAUCUACUAAGAAAAGAUCACAACUUUUAUCACAACCCAAGGUCAUGGAGGAGGCUAUGGAAUUGUACAGAGAAGCAACCAGUGACGGGCCUGACAAUGAAGGAUGUAGUUCCUCUUAA